ACGCUCGACACCUACGGGAGGCAGCAGUGGGGAAUAUUGCACAAUGGGGGAAACCCUGAUGCAGCGACGCCGCGUGGAGGAAGAAGGUCUUCGGAUUGUAAACUCCUGUUGUUGGGGAAAAAGAGGAUGGUACCCAACAAGGAAGUGACGGCUAACUACGUGCCAGCAGCCGAGGUAAUCUGAGCGGGCUGGCAAGGC
Molecule: ribosomal RNA, 198 nt
Filed under: uncultured bacterium
Lineage: Bacteria
Description: partial 16S ribosomal RNA
Rfam family: Bacterial small subunit ribosomal RNA
Source: RNAcentral